This 471-nucleotide ribosomal RNA is filed under the name uncultured bacterium. RNAcentral describes it as "bacterial SSU rRNA". It matches the Rfam family "Bacterial small subunit ribosomal RNA", at positions 28 to 505 of the family's 1533-position model. The record is from RNAcentral.
GAUGAACGCUGGCGGUAGGCCUUACACAUGCAAGUCGAGCGGACAGAAUUAAAACAAGUUGGAGAGCUUGCUCAAAGACGAGUUUUUUGGAAGUUAGCGGCAAACGGGUGAGUAACGCGUAAGUACAUCCCUCUAGUUUGAGAUAGCCAUCCGAAAGGGUGAGUAAUAUCAAAUGUGAUCGAAAGAUUAAAGAAGCAAUUCGCUAGAGGCAGGGCUUGCGUCCCAUCAGCUAGUUGGUAAGGUAAAAGCUUACCAAGGCUAAGACGGGUAGCUGGUCUGAGAGGACGAUCAGCCACACUGGGACUGCGACACGGCCCAGACACCUACGGGUGGCAGCAGUGGGGAAUUUUCGGCAAUGGGCGAAAGCCUGACCGAGCCAUACCGCGUGAAGGACGACAGCCUAUGGGUUGUAAACUUCUGUGGAGAAUUACUAAUUUUGAAGGAUUCUCUAGAAAGGGGUUGCUAACUCUG